This 332-nucleotide unclassified non-coding RNA is filed under the name soil metagenome. Its description in RNAcentral is "partial contains 5.8S ribosomal RNA, internal transcribed spacer 2, and large subunit ribosomal RNA". The stretch from base 1 to 120 matches the Rfam family "5.8S ribosomal RNA", at positions 35 to 154 of the family's 154-position model. The record is from RNAcentral.
GAUGAAGAACGUAGCGAAAUGCGAUAAGUAGUGUGAAUUGCAGAAUUCAGUGAAUCAUCGAAUCUUUGAACGCACAUUGCGCCCUUUGGUAUUCCUUAGGGCAUGCCUGUUCGAGCGUCAUUUAAACCUUCAAGCUAAGCUUGGUGUUGGGUGACUGUCCGCUUCACGGCGGACUCGCCUCAAAAUUAUUGGCGGCCGGUACAUUGGCUUCGAGCGCAGCAGAAACGCGAACUCGGGCCCGUCGUAUUGGCUCCCAGAAGCUAUCUUCAAAAUUUUGACCUCGGAUCAGGUAGGGAUACCCGCUGAACUUAAGCAUAUCAAUAAGCGGAGGA